GACGAACGCUGGCGGCGUGCUUAACACAUGCAAGUCGAACGGAAAGGCCCUGCUUUUGUGGGGUGCUCGAGUGGCGAACGGGUGAGUAACACGUGAGUAACCUGCCCUUGACUUUGGGAUAACUUCAGGAAACUGGGGCUAAUCCCGGAUAGGAGCUCCUGCUGCAUGGGGGGGGUUGGAAAGUUUCGGCGGUUGGGGAUGGACUCGCGGCUUAUCAGCUUGGUGGUGGGGUAGUGGCUUAACAAGGCUUUGACGGAUAGCCGGCCUGAGAGGGUGACCGGCCACAUUGGGACUGAGAUACGGCCCAGACUCCUACGGUAGGCAGCAGUCGGGAAUAUUGCACAAUGGGCGGAAGCCUGAUGCAGCAACGCCGCGUGCGGGAUGACGGCCUUCGGGUUGUAAACCGCUUGCGCCUGUGACGAAGCGUGAGUGACGGUAAUGGGUAAAGAAGCACCGGCUAACUACGUG
Molecule: ribosomal RNA, 468 nt
Filed under: uncultured bacterium
Lineage: Bacteria
Description: partial 16S ribosomal RNA
Rfam family: Bacterial small subunit ribosomal RNA
Source: RNAcentral